This 459-nucleotide ribosomal RNA is filed under the name uncultured bacterium. RNAcentral's name for it is "bacterial SSU rRNA". It matches the Rfam family "Bacterial small subunit ribosomal RNA", at positions 14 to 518 of the family's 1533-position model. The record is from RNAcentral.
CGAUUCUGGCUCAGAACGAACGCUGGCGGCAGGCCUAAAACAUGCAAGUUGAACGGCUGUAGCAAUACAGCAGUAGCGCACGGGUGAGUAAUAUAUGGGAACAUGUCUUUUGGUGGGGAAUAUUCUCUGGAAACGGAGAGCAAUACCGCAUAAGCCCUACGGGGGAAAGAUUUAUCGCCGAUAGAGUGGCCCAUAUUGGAUUAGCCAGUUGGUUGGGUAACGGCUGACCAAGGCGACGAUCCAUAGCUGAUCUGAGAGGAUGAUCAGCCACACGUGGACUGAGACACGGCCCAGACUCCUACGGGAGGCAGCAGUUAGGAAUAUUGGACAAUGGGGCAACCCUGAUCCCAGCCAUGCCGCGUGAGUGUUAAGGCCUUCGGGUUGUAAAGCUCUUUUGUAUGGGAAAAUGAUGAUGGUACCAUAAGAAUAAGCACCGGCUAACUUCGUGCCAGCCGCUGC